Molecule: small nucleolar RNA, 85 nt
Organism: Sparus aurata (gilthead seabream)
Lineage: Eukaryota; Metazoa; Chordata; Actinopteri; Spariformes; Sparidae
Gene: SNORD11B
Product: small nucleolar RNA, C/D box 11B
Source: Ensembl
UGACAGUGGUGAUGAUGACGACUUUUGUCUUUUUCCUGAAACAAAUCGUGUGGGUUUUUCAGUCACUACCUCAUCUGAACAGUCG